This 144-nucleotide microRNA precursor is filed under the name Amborella trichopoda. RNAcentral describes it as "miR166c stem-loop (atr-MIR166c)". Its record names the gene atr-MIR166c. The stretch from base 28 to 119 matches the Rfam family "mir-166 microRNA precursor family". Rfam says of the family: This family represents the plant microRNA (miRNA) precursor mir-166. Animal miRNAs are transcribed as ~70nt precursors and subsequently processed by the Dicer enzyme to give a ~22nt product. Lineage: Eukaryota; Viridiplantae; Streptophyta; Magnoliopsida; Amborellales; Amborellaceae. The record is from miRBase by way of RNAcentral.
UCAGAUGAUGAUGAUAUAUGCAUAUGAGUUGUGGGGAAUGUUGUCUGGCUCGAGGUACAUCUGGGGUUAUCUUGAGUCACAUUCCAGAUGAUCUCGGACCAGGCUUCAUUCCCCUCAACCAAGCCGAGCUCAUCCUUCUUAUGA